UCGUCAGUGCGGUAUAUCCUGACCUGCCCCGCUCCGGCGGGCAGCAUGUGAUGAGCGGAGCGUGAUGACGCGUGAUUAGAGUCGCGCGGCGCGGGCGCUGCAACCGCCCGCGCCUCCCUCUGAC
Small nucleolar RNA from Apteryx owenii (little spotted kiwi), 124 nucleotides. Its record names the gene U8. It matches the Rfam family "U8 small nucleolar RNA". Rfam says of the family: U8 is a member of the C/D class of snoRNA which contain the C (UGAUGA) and D (CUGA) box motifs. The record is from Ensembl. Lineage: Eukaryota; Metazoa; Chordata; Aves; Apterygiformes; Apterygidae.